This 296-nucleotide long non-coding RNA is filed under the name Mytilus galloprovincialis (Mediterranean mussel). The record is from RNAcentral. Lineage: Eukaryota; Metazoa; Mollusca; Bivalvia; Mytilida; Mytilidae.
GGGGCAAAAGAUACUAGAAAAACAGUCAAACUCAUAGAUCUAAAAUAAACUGACAACAACGUGGCUUUCAAAAAAGACUAACAGACCAAUAAUAUUACACAAUACACAACAAAAAAAACAUAAAGACUAAGCAACACGAACCCAAACAUAAACUGGGGGUAAUCUCAGGUACUCCGGAAGGGUAAACAGAUCCUGCUCUAAAUGUUGCAUCCGUCAUGUAGUUCAUGAUAUUACAAACCUGGUGUAAGUCACAUUUGUGAAAAGGGAAGGGGAUUGUAGUUAUGAAAGGAGGAACA